UACAGAGGUCUCGAGCGUUGUUCGGAUUCAUUGGGCGUAAAGGGUGCGUAGGCGGCUUGGUAAGUCGGGUGUGAAACCUCCAGGCUCAACCUGGAGACGCCACUCGAUACUGCCAUGGCUAGAGUCCGGUAGGGGCCCACGGAAUUCCUGGUGUAGCGGUGAAAUGCGCAGAUAUCAGGAGGAACACCGGUGGCGAAGGCGGUGGCUGGGCCGGAACUGACGCUGAGGAGCGAAAGCGUGGGGAGCGAACAGG
This 253-nucleotide ribosomal RNA is filed under the name uncultured bacterium. RNAcentral describes it as "partial 16S ribosomal RNA". It matches the Rfam family "Bacterial small subunit ribosomal RNA", at positions 524 to 776 of the family's 1533-position model. The record is from RNAcentral.